AUGGAGGGACAAGACCGGAAUGUUUUGGGAGCCUCCACAAUGGUUUUCAAGUGUCUUGUUGAUCCUACGAGCUUAGAGGCACAAGCCAAUAAUGAGGCACUUGGAGUGGCGCCAGACCUUAAUUUACGCAGAUUGGUGAUUGCCUUAGACUACAUCGAUGUUAUAAUGAAAAUCAAGAAGGGAGGGGUGGCUUCCUAUGCGAAGGUGCUGACAGAGAUCAAUCAUAGAAGAAAGGAGUUUGAUGGUGUUUGCUUCACUUGGAGAGCAAUUUUGAAGCUCACGCAUUGGCAAAGGCGACCUCUAAUAGCUUUUGGUCGCCACUUGUGGCUAGGAUAUGCAUCGAAUAUAGUUUGUAUUUCAGACAUUAUUAACCUUGAAUAA
This 381-nucleotide ribosomal RNA is filed under the name Triticum aestivum (bread wheat). RNAcentral's name for it is "partial small subunit ribosomal RNA". The record is from RNAcentral. Lineage: Eukaryota; Viridiplantae; Streptophyta; Magnoliopsida; Poales; Poaceae.